This 668-nucleotide ribosomal RNA is filed under the name Helvella solitaria. RNAcentral describes it as "eukaryotic LSU rRNA". It matches the Rfam family "Eukaryotic large subunit ribosomal RNA", at positions 119 to 796 of the family's 3401-position model. Lineage: Eukaryota; Fungi; Ascomycota; Pezizomycetes; Pezizales; Helvellaceae. The record is from RNAcentral.
AAUCUGGGGUCGCCGACCUCCGAGUUGUAAUUUGGAGAGGCAUCUUCGGGGUGGGGCGCCGGCCCCAUGUUCCUUGGAACAGGACGUCGCAGAGGGUGAGAAUCCCGUGCCAGGCCGGCCGCCUCCGCCCCAUCGAGGGGCCUUCGACGAGUCGAGUUGUUUGGGAAUGCAGCUCCAAGUGGGUGGUAAAUUUCAUCUAAAGCUAAAUACCGGCGGGAGACCGAUAGCGCACAAGUAGAGUGAUCGAAAGAUGAAAAGCACUUUGAAAAUAGAGUCAAAAAGUACGUGAAAUUGUUGAAAGGGAAGCGCUUGAGACCAGACCCAGACCCGGGCAAACACCGCGCCCCUCGGGGCCGUGCAAUUGCCCGUGGCUGGGCCAGCAUCAGUCGGCCCGGCGGGACAAAUGCGAGGGGAAUGUGUCUCCCCUCGGGGAGUGUUUAUUAGCCCCUCGCCCAAUGCCGCCCGAGCCGACUGUGGACCGCGCCUCGGCUAGGAUGCUGGCUUAAUGGCCUUCAGCGACCCGUCUUGAAACACGGACCAAGGAGUCUAACAUCUAUGCGAGUGUUUGGGCUUCAAACCCUUGCGCGGAAUGAAAGUGAGCGGAGGUGGGAACCCCCCCGCGGGGCGCACCAUCGACCGAUCCUGAUGUCCUCGGAUGGAUUUGAGUA